Molecule: ribosomal RNA, 446 nt
Filed under: uncultured bacterium
Lineage: Bacteria
Description: bacterial SSU rRNA
Rfam family: Bacterial small subunit ribosomal RNA
Source: RNAcentral
GACGAACGCUGGCGGCGUGCUUAACACAUGCAAGUCGAGCGGUAAGGCCCUUUCGGGGGUACACGGAGCGGCGAACGGGUGAGUAACACGUGGGUGACCUGCCCUCAGCUCUGGGAUAAGCCUGGGAAACCGGGGUCUAAUACUGGAUAUGACUCCAUGACGCAUGUUGUGGGGUGGAAAGCCUUGUGCGGCUGAGGAUGGGCCCGCGGCCUAUCAGCUUGUUGGUGGGGUGANGGCCUACCAAGGCGACGACGGGUAGCCGGCCUGAGAGGGCGACCGGCCACACUGGGACUGAGACACGGCCCAGACUCCUACGGGAGGCAGCAGGUGGGGAAUCUUGCGCAAUGGGCGAAAGCCUGACGCAGCGACGCCGCGGUGAGGGAUGAAGGUCUUAGGAUUGUAAAGCUCUUUCGCCCGUGACGAUGAUGACGGUAACGGGAGAAGAA